UACGUAGGGGGCUAGCGUUGUCCGGAAUCAUUGGGCGUAAAGAGCGUGUAGGCGGUCCGGUAAGUCCGCUGUGAAAGUCGGGGGCUCAACCCUCGAAUGCCGGUGGAUACUGUCGGGCUAGAGUGCGGAAGAGGCGAGUGGAAUCCUGGUGUAGCGGUGAAAUGCGCAGAUAUCAGGAGGAACACCUAUUGCGAAGGCAGCUCGCUGGGACGUAACUGACGCUGGAGACGCGAAAGCGUGGGGAGCAAACAGG
Molecule: ribosomal RNA, 253 nt
Filed under: uncultured bacterium
Lineage: Bacteria
Description: partial 16S ribosomal RNA
Rfam family: Bacterial small subunit ribosomal RNA
Source: RNAcentral